AGGCUGCCCGCUGCGAUGCCUGCUAGAAAUCCAGCCGCGUUCUUACCACGGACGCUCCUAAAGGCGGAAGUGGAAACUCCUAAGGCACGGCACCACCGGAGCCACCUCUUUAGUGGGAGGAGUUGCACAUGCGCACAGAAGUCGAGCGGAGCGCUUAAAUACCGUCAUGCGGCCACCGCCGGCCUUUUCCCCUGCCGCCGCCGACUUGCGCGGAGGCGGAAGCUCGGGUGCGUUCAAGAUUCGGCGUCACCCGUGAUUCACCGCCAUGGCCGAGGAAGGCAUAGCUGCUGGAGGUGUAAUGGACGUCAACACUGCUCUACAAGAGGUGCUGAAGACCGCCCUCAUCCACGAUGGCCUAGCACGUGGCAUACGCGAAGCUGCCAAAGCCUUAGACAAGUACGUGUCUCAGUCUCAAUACUGUGGGGUGUUGCAGCCGGAACAAAGACUGCAGCAGCCAAGGGAAGAGAGCGUGAAGUUCAUGCUGUUAGCACAAAAGUUCUGAAUGUCAUCCGGCCAGCAGGAAACCUAGGAAAAGGCGCCAAGCCCAUCUGUGUGUGCUCGCAUCCAACUGUGAUGAGCCCAUGUAUGUCAAGCUGGUGGAGGCACUUUGUGCUGAGCACCAAAUCAACCUGAUAAAGGUUGAUGACAACAAGAAACUAGGGGAAUGGGUAGGCCUCUGUAAAAUCGAUCGAGAGGGCAAACCACGGAAGGUGGUUGGUUGCAGUUGCGUAGUGGUUAAGGACUAUGGCAAAGAAUCUCAGGCCAAGGAUGUCAUCGAGGAAUACUUCAAGUGCAAGAAAUAAAUAAAUUUUGGCUGAUUUUUCUCUUGUA
Molecule: RNA transcript, 831 nt
Organism: Mus musculus (house mouse)
Lineage: Eukaryota; Metazoa; Chordata; Mammalia; Rodentia; Muridae
Gene: Rps12
Gene name: ribosomal protein S12
Exons: 6
Source: RefSeq, marked validated